RNAcentral lists this ribosomal RNA (284 nucleotides) under uncultured bacterium. RNAcentral's name for it is "partial 16S ribosomal RNA". It matches the Rfam family "Bacterial small subunit ribosomal RNA", at positions 337 to 637 of the family's 1533-position model. The record is from RNAcentral.
UCCUACGGGGGGCAGCAGUCGGGAAUAUUGCGCAAUGGAGGAAACUCUGACGCAGUGACGCCGCGUAUAGGAAGAAGGUUUUCGGAUUGUAAACUAUUGUCGUUAGGGAAGAUAAAAGACAGUACCUAAGGAGGAAGCUCCGGCUAACUACGUGCCAGCAGCCGCGGUAAUACGUAGGGAGCAAGCGUUAUCCGGAUUUAUUGGGUGUAAAGGGAGCGUAGACGGGAAAUUAAGUUUGUUGUGAAAUCCCACGGCUCAACUGAGGAACUGCAAUUAAAACUGGU